Long non-coding RNA from Mytilus californianus (California mussel), 4407 nucleotides. RefSeq lists it as uncharacterized. The record is from RefSeq and is a predicted model, not a curated record. The transcript has 2 exons. NCBI's taxonomy places the organism in Eukaryota, Metazoa, Mollusca, Bivalvia, Mytilida, Mytilidae.
AGAGUGAACAGUUAUGUGUAACAAGUACCUGGUAAGAGUGAACAGUUAUGUGUAACACGUACCUGGUAAGAGUGAACAGUUAUGUGUAACACGUACCUGGUAAGAGUGAACAGUUAUGUGUAACACGUACCUGGUAAGAGUGAACAGUUAUGUGUAACACGUACCUGGUAAGAGUGAACAGUUAUGUGUAACACGUACCUGGUAAGAGUGAACAUAGGUAUUUUAUUUAUCUAAUAGGUUUCACUAUAUUAUGCAAGGUAUAUUAAACCAAUGAAAUAUUCCUCAAGUGUCAGAAUAAGAUGUCAGUUAUGAAACAGUCAUACAAUGUUGUUUGAAGAAACAGAUUUUAACUUAUUCCCUUAUGAAGACUUAUCAAUUGUUUAAGUUUGUUUAGUUUUGUUAGUGUUUGAAAUGUUGUGACAGUACAGUUGAUUACAUUUUAUGUAAUCUAAUUAUUUUAUUUAAGUGCUUAAAUUUGUGUUUUUAUACAAAAUAUGUGAUUCUGUAUGUUUGAUUGCAUUUUUAAAGGAAUCUGAUCCUUUGAUUUAUUUUUAAUGCUCCAACUUUAUAACCUCACAUAUAAUUUAUUGUCUUGCCUGUAAUAAAAGUUGCUGAAGGCAAUACAUAUGUAUACUAGAUUGGUGAUAUCAGGGAUGACAGCAUGAACUAUAUCUAUACAGAGAUGAUUCUGUUCUGGUUUUUUAGAAUAUUUCUUGUUAUGGUAAUUUUGAUUUGUCCAUUAUCAUUUAAAUUAUAGAUUCUCUCAUGACCAUUUUGUGAUUACAGAGAAAAAAUGUAAUUGCUUAUUGGUACAGCCUUAUCUGCUUUUACCGUUGAUGUUCAAAAUCAUUUUUUUGUAUAUAAAGCUUAGAAUAUAUCUAAAGGUUGUAGAGCUAAAUUCACAUUGUAUACACUUGACUUAUGGUCUAUAUAAAAAUAAGGAGAUGUGGUAUGAUUCCCAAUGAGACAACUAUCCACCAAAGUUCAAAUAAAGUGGAUGUUAGCAAUUAUAGGCAACUGUACGGCCUUCAACAAUGAGAAAACCCAUACCGUAUGGUCGGCUAUAAAAAGCCCUGACAUGAAAAGUAUGAAACAAUUCAAUUGAGAAAACUAAAACCCUAAUUUAUAACAAAACAUUUUAUGAAAAACAAAUUUGACAGCCAUGAACCAACGACAGCUACUGAACUACAGGCUUCUGACUUGGGACAGGCACAUAAAGAAUGUGGCGGGGUUAAACAUGUUUGUGAGCGCUCAACCCUCCCCUAACCUGGGACAGUGGUGUAACAGUACAACAUAAGAACAAACUAUAAAAAUCAGUUGAAAAAGGCUUAUCUCAUCAGAUGGAUACAAAUAGAAAUACAUCUAACAAAAAAACAGAGUGGACGUGGACGGGUACUUAUACAUCCCCACACCAAAAAGACACUAAGUACAGAUCUGAGAGUACUCACAGUUACUGACAGCUUGUUCAAAGCCAAUCACAACUAAAAAAAAUCACGUAUCUAAGACUAAAAUAUCAAUCAGUACACAUCAAACAUCCAAUGGAUUUAGUGUAAAGACGUCAUUAACAGUCAGAAAAAAACAUGACCUUGUGUAUAGUUUGCAUUUGUCAUGUUCAUUGUCAUUGACAUCAUUCUUAUGGUUCAAUUACCUGGUACUCAAUGAAAAAAACAGUAUAAGUUUCAUGAUCAUUUGGUCUAUUGAGUUACUUGGGAAUACACUCAACUAUGUGUUAAAAAUCAAUGUAAAACAGAUGUCCAUUAUGGGUAAGUUUGCAUAAAUGUGACCUCAUUAUUAUUUACCAUUGAGCACACUUACUCAGUUUAUACAAUUAAGUCAGUUUCUCUAUGUAUAAACUCAAUGUUAUUGUUCUGCACUCAUUCUAGUGUACACCUGAUUUGUUAUUGGGAGGGACUGUUCAUGUUUUGUUUAUUACUGUUUCAUGAUAAGGUAAGGUUCUCCAUUACACUGUGUAAUUGGUGACAUUUUUUGGUCCAUGCCAUCAUAAGGAUUACAUGUCCUUCUGACAGGGCUACCUGACCUUAAUAUCAUUAUAUGAUUCAUUGAUAGAAGAUGUUUUUAGAAAUCAAACCUCAGUUAUUUAAAGUUAUAGCUGAACUAUAUUUGUUGUAUUGAAUCAUAGUAAUGAGUACAAGUCUGGCUGUUUAGGCUUCCUUUACCUUAUUUUUAUGGUUCAUUAAUAUGUAAGUUUCUGUAAUAAAAGUGAUAUGACCUAAGUUUGUGCACUUUAUUGAAUUAUUUUCUUUGGGUUUUCUUUGAUUUAGGUUGAUAUAAAACAGUGAUAAGAUAUUUUAUCAUGGAAUAUGCAUUGUUUGUUGUUUUAGAAGGGACCCAAGUGAAUCCAGGGUUUAGUUGUUGCUUUUUUAUAGGUUAGGGAAAUGUAUAUAUAAAAGAUAGAUUAAGGGUGAAGGGAAAGGAUCAGAAAGAUAAUACAAUGUAGUGUAAUUAUGAAUGGUCAGGGUUACAAAUUAUAAAAGAAAUUAUUGUAUGGUUUCAUUGUUUAUUUAUUGUCUUUUUAUGUUUCUAAUAUUUAUUAUAUUUAUUUAUUACAAACCUACUGUUAGCUGUUUUGUUAGUUGUCAUGCUUACUAUAUAUCUGUUAAUUUACUGAUUUGUAGAUUAUUAUUUAUACUCAUAUUUAUUAAUGAUGCGGCUUGGAAGGGUCAUAUAUUUUAUAACAAUCAUUAUUUGAUAGCAAGAAAAUAACUAGAGUAUGGGGUGACCUAUUUUUGUUGAUUGUGGUGAUGGGUUGUUGUCUCAUUGACAUCAGCCACAUCUCUUCUUUUUUCACCUUUGAAAUAGUUAUAAAUGUUAACACACUAAUACUGUUUUGGCAAGGUAUUUUCUUAUUUUCCUUUUUUUUUUAUUGUCUUGUUUCUUUUGACAGAAGAAAUUCAAAAAGAUAUAUGUACAUCUGUAUUAGUAACACUAUUGCACUAUAAUUGUCAUGAAAUGAAGCAGGGUAUUUUUUCAUUAGUAGUGAAGAGAUUUCAUUUAUUUCUUAUUAUAUGUUUAAAUAAGAAACGGAUAGCUGAAUUCCAGUGAGUAUUUGUGAAUAGUCAUGUUCAUUUGGGAAAUUAUUAUAUAUAAGCAUUCCAUUUUUUGAAGCAAAAACUAAUUAAAAAUAUUGGUUGCAAACCUCUGUAACAAGUGUCCAGAAGUUUCUAUGGUAUAAAAUGUUCGUGUCCUUAAGAAUGUUUAUGAAGACCUGGAAGUUGUCAUGCAAUCAAUAAAUGCCCAAAAAUCUUUUUGUAUUCCAUAUAAUUUUAUACAUAUUGAUAUCUAGUUAGCUAUUUUAUCACAAUAAAGACAAUCAUGAUGUAAUAAACCCUAGGGCCAGUUAGUUGAUUAGCAGAUGGGGGUAACAUCUAGAUCAUAUUAACCAUCAAACUUUUUGCAAAUGAUGUUUGGAAACAUGAUGUAAAUUUAGUCAUUGUUACACAUGUAUGUGGAUUUAUUUUUGUUAUUUUAGAUCAAUAGAAAAAUAAGUAGACAGUAGGAGAUGGAAUAGGAUUUUCAGGAAAUUUUCCUGAAGCAGUAAACUGAAUUAAAGAAAUUCUCCAUGACGAACAAAGUAUUCUCUUGUUGCACGAUUGUUUUAAAGGAAGUGCACAAUGGAAUACUUAUGUUCUCUUUUAAGUAUUCUUGUUUGCAAUCUUACGGAUCUGCCAAUUCUUAAAGGAUUUAGUUUAAUUGAAUUUCUUUUUACAUAUUAAGGAACAUAUGCUUGUUUCUUACAGAGACAAUGAAGCAUCAAAUUCUUUAUUAAGUAUUAAGGGUGAACAGGGAUGUAAAUACAUCUUUUAUGUAACAAUAGAAGCCAUUAAUACGUAAAAAAAUAAAUCAUAUAGAACACUUCUUGAAAAUAUUUCCUUAAGGUAGAUGGGGUGUCUUAAUUAUAAUCCAUAGAAUUUUUUAAUAAUUUGCCAAAAUGUAGUUUAUAUCAUGCAUUUUUAAAAAAAAUAAUAAAAAGAAUGGGUCACGGGGCUUAUUUUCACGCUAUAGGUUGUGCAAAAUUGACAGAUUUUGUAUAGAUUAUGCAUGGAAAACCCAAUUUUCUGCCAUAAAACGAAAACUACACCAUAGAAUUUUGAGAUAAAAUAUGAGAAGAUAGCUCUAAUAGUAUGCUUUCAGAUAAGAAAAAGAAAAAAUGGGGUCACGGGACCCGUUUUCUUGCUACAUAAUAAAAUAGGUAAAUUCCUAACACAUUCUAUUGUAAAAGUAACUUUAUCUGAAUUAUCUGCCCUUACAUUUGAGUUGCCUCCCCUUAUGUGGCAAUUUUGAUAAAAGUGUGUGUCAGUAUUAUGAAUCAAAAAGAUAUGCAAAUAUAAGAAGGGAAAUAUGCGAUUUUUUUUUAUACAUGUUGGUUAAUAAAUGGUAUUAAAUACG